Long non-coding RNA from Bos grunniens (domestic yak), 1655 nucleotides. The record is from Ensembl. Lineage: Eukaryota; Metazoa; Chordata; Mammalia; Artiodactyla; Bovidae.
CCACAGAGAGCUUGCUGCUGACGCCUGCUGUCCUCCUGCCCGGCGGUGCCAGCCUGACGUGGUGACGCUUGAACCUGAGCUGCCUUCACUCACUAUAAUCCCUCAUCCAUUCAGGGUCCCUGCUGGGAACCCGCCAGGCCCUGAGGACUCAGGCCUGUGGCUGCCCAGCGGCCUCUACACGGGCAUCUCCCCACACCGACUCCUGGGCCAUCCCGUGAGGCCAGAAGCCCUGGGCAGGGCUCCAAGGGCACGGGGACCUGUGAGCUCCAUCCCCGCUCCCUGGGGCCCUGGUCCCGCCCACAGUGGAGCUGGGUCCAGCCAGGAGCCCUGCCCUUGCAGGCCCGCAGCCCGGGGAGGGGGUUAUUUGUUGGGGGUGGGAGGGGCGCCCAUUGUUUCUGCAGGAAGAUCUCCAGGAUCUCCAGUCCCUUGGGAUGGGCCUCAGUUCAUCCGUGUACACACCAGUGGGGGUGUGCUCUCGGCAUCCAGGAGGGAGAUGAUGCUGGCUGCCACGGCCUCGGAGUGCCACGUCCCUGCCACCUGGGCUGGAGUGGGCAGAAAGGAGGUCCCCACUGCACCGUGGGCUCUCUGUCCCACCCCCACCAGGCCAUGCCGGGUCUAACUGAAGAGGGGGGCGGUGACAUAGGAUGACUCUCUGCUCGCUAGUGGUCACCAAGCUGUGGAAUUUCCCGCACCUGAAGUAACGCUUCCCUGUUAACCCAGGUGGACUUAAAGUCCACGUCAUGAGCCUCACUUAGGACCAUCUGGGUCUUGGGGAACAAGCCGUGUGCACCCUGAAGAGGGUUUCCUCACGUCAUGUCUUCCUUGGGUGUGCCUUCAGGCCUCUGAGGCCCAGCUGCCCUGCAACUCGCCGCCCCCCCCCGGCCACCCUCAGCCUCAGGCCCUUCAUGGUCUGGGUGAUGACGAAAGUCUGGGCGCCACAGGCGAAGGCCAGGCCCAGGGCAAGCAGAAGUGAUUCAUGGCUGUAGCUGGGGUGGCGCUUCUGAGCUCCGGAGGGAGAGGAGGGCUGAGAGAGCAGGCUCGGGGCCUUAUACAGGAAGAGGGCUGGCCAGCCAGACCAGGCUGGGCCCCCAGCCACGCGGUUCCCUGAAUCCCCCCUGGCCCAUCCUUGGGCCCUCAGGCAGCUUCCUCCACCGGGACAAUAGGAGGCCUUCUUCCAUCCAAGGCCGAGCAGGAAGGCCCCUUGUGUCCUGCGCCUGGACGGUUCCUGGUAGGCCCCAGAUUGGGGUGGGGGGUGUCUGGGCUGUGGGUCCAGGCUGGUCAUCAGCUCCAGGAGCACUUCCGGGGUCAGCCUCUUGGACACGACAGCCUGAACUGGGUUCUCUCCCCCAACCCCGUCACCUCUGUGUCCCAGAGCUCUGUGUGUUUGGCAGCAGGAAAACCUGGGGUCAGUGUGUUUUGGCCACACAGUCUUGACAUCUUCACCCCCAAAAUAAUCUCUUAAAUCCACCUUUCCUGUUGUGUUCCCCAUAGCAGUUCCCUGGUUCUAGACCCACAAAUAAGUGUUUAUGGGCAAGAUGACUGAAACACCCCUCCCCUCCCCGUCGCACAUUCAGCUGCCAGAGGGAAGUCUCCAGUGCAAAUGUGACCCAAUUUUUCUUUUCUCUGAAACAAAUGUGAGUCCAUCUUGGCAUUCC